AGAGUUUGAUCAUGGCUCAGAAUCAACGCUGGCGGCGCGCCUAACACAUGCAAGUCGCACGAGAAAGCGGGGGCAAUCUCGCAAGUAAAGUGGCGUACGGGUGAGUAACACGUGGAUCAUCUGCCCUGGAGUGGGGAAUAACGCUGGGAAACCGGCGCUAAUACCGCAUAUACCCGAGAGGGGAAAGCAGCAAUGCGCUCGAGGAGGAGUCCGCGGCCGAUUAGCUAGUUGGCAGGGUAAAAGCCUACCAAGGCUGUGAUCGGUAGCCGGCCUGAGAGGGCACACGGCCACACUGGCACUGAAACACGGGCCAGACUCCUACGGGAGGCAGCAGUGGGGAAUCUUGCACAAUGGGGGAAACCCUGAUGCAGCGACGCCGCGUGAGCGAUGAAGCCCUUCGGGGUGUAAAGCUCUUUCGGCAGGGAAGAUAAUGACGGUACCUGCAGAAGCAGCUGCGGCUAACUACGUGCCAGCAGCCGCGGUAAUACGUAGGCAGCAAGCGUUGUUCGGAGUUACUGGGCGUAAAGGGUGUGUAGGUGGCGCGCUAAGUUCCGUGUGAAAUCUCCCGGCUCAACCGGGAGGGUGCGCGGAAAACUGGCGGGCUAGAGUACGGGAUGGGAGAGUAGAAUUCCUGGUGUAGCGGUGAAAUGCGUAGAUAUCAGGAGGAAUACCGGUGGUGUAGACGGCUCUCUGGACCGUAACUGACACUGAAACACGAAAGCGUGGGUAGCAAACAGGAUUAGAUACCCUGGUAGUCCACGCCCUAAACGAUGCAUAUUUGGUGUAGGUCAUUCAGUUGAUCUGUGCCGGAGCUAACGCGUUAAAUAUGCCGCCUGGGGAGUACAGUCGCAAGGCUGAAACUCAAAGGAAUUGACGGGGCCCGCACAAGCGGUGGAGCAUGUGGUUCAAUUCGACGCAACGCGAAGAACCUUACCUGGGCUCGAACGGCUAGUU
Molecule: ribosomal RNA, 954 nt
Filed under: uncultured bacterium
Lineage: Bacteria
Description: bacterial SSU rRNA
Rfam family: Bacterial small subunit ribosomal RNA
Source: RNAcentral